CGAUAACGAACGAGACUCUGGCCUAUUAAACUUGACGCUGUCAGUCUCUUGUGACUGCGGCGCGCUUCUUAGAGGGAUCAUCGGCGUCCCAGCCGAAGGAAAGGGAGCAAUAACAGGUCUGUGAUGCCCUUAGAUGUUCUGGGCUGCACGCGUGUUACACUGAAGUGGUCAGCGCGCCGUUCAACACCCCUCUCCGUGAGGAGCUUGGGCAAACGUUUGAACCCUUUUCGUGAUGGGAAUUGGGGGUUGCAAUUGUCCCCCAUGAACGAGGAAUUCCAAGUAAGCGCAGGUCACUAGCCUGCGUUGAUUAAGUCCCUGCCCUUUGUACACACCGCCCGUCGCUACUACCGAUGGAUGAUUUGGUGAGGUCGCCUAGACUGGCUGCUGGCUUCGGCCGUGCGGCCGGGAAGACGCCCAAACUUGGUCGUCUAGAGGAAGUAAAAGUCGUAACAAGGUUUCCGUAGGUGAA
RNAcentral lists this ribosomal RNA (469 nucleotides) under Semibalanus balanoides (northern acorn barnacle). RNAcentral's name for it is "SSU rRNA". It matches the Rfam family "Eukaryotic small subunit ribosomal RNA", at positions 1326 to 1813 of the family's 1831-position model. The record is from RNAcentral. Lineage: Eukaryota; Metazoa; Arthropoda; Thecostraca; Balanomorpha; Balanidae.